AAGAACCCGCGACAAUUCUCCGCCCUGCCGGUCGGGGCGGACGAAACAGGUACCACCGAGCGCCGGGGACAAGCGCGCCGGACCCGGCCUCCGGGUUACGACAAUUGGCGCCCAACGGCGGGCUGAGUGAGAAGGGAUCCAGUGAAGAAACCGAUCAAAGAGAAAAAGAAGAAGAGAAAGAGGUAACGGCCGAGUUGCAGGGCAGCUGCGAUCAGAGAGACGUGCAGCCUGAGGCCGAGUCUUCACAGAGCGAACCCCUGCCUGAGAGCCCUCCCACCACCUGAGCCCCCAGACUCAUUCCUGCAGGGAAGCGGCCCACGGUGCUUCCGUCGGCCCUCCCAGGAGGGGACUCUGGGUACGCACACCGCCAUCGGUGUCCUCGCAGGAGAGGCAGGACGUACUGCCUGCCCCUCUCCUGCCUCAGGACCCGUGGGAACCAGGAAGGGCCAUGGCCAGCAGUUCCGUGUGACCGUGCAGAAACUAAGGCACAGACACUAGGAACUGGCCCAGUGCUGUCUGCCAAGCAGUAACAAAGCAGACCAAAGACACAGUGCGCUGGCCUGGCAACCGUGCUGGAGUGUGCCUGUGCCCAGUUCCUAUCUGUGCUCACAGGCUCUGGCUGGUGUCCCCUCAAGCACAGCCGUGAGGGCUCCUUGGGACUGUCCCGUGGAAGCGCGGAGCAGUGCCUGUGAACUGGGGCGAGCAAGCUGGACGACAGGGAGAGGAGGGGGUGGGAGUCCCAGAGGCGACACCUCCCUGGGCCAGCUCUGCAGGCGUCGCCCGCGCCGGCCCGGAGCACAGUGGGUCAGGACCUGGGCCGUUGCGCCUACGAUCACUUUUUGAGCGCUGUCAACAACAUACUUCAGAAAAGUGCUGAUGACUCAAACCUUCCUAGAGACUGAGCAGGUGAAGAAACGUACUCACAUGUCGAGAGUUUGAAAAUUUGUUUUUAAUGCUUAUUGGUAUUUCUGCAUUAAAAAGUAGCUACAAA
Suricata suricatta (meerkat) is the source of this 991-nucleotide long non-coding RNA. RefSeq lists it as uncharacterized. Lineage: Eukaryota; Metazoa; Chordata; Mammalia; Carnivora; Herpestidae. The record is from RefSeq and is a predicted model, not a curated record. The transcript is spliced from 2 exons.